Long non-coding RNA from Ochlerotatus camptorhynchus, 3844 nucleotides. RefSeq lists it as uncharacterized. Lineage: Eukaryota; Metazoa; Arthropoda; Insecta; Diptera; Culicidae. The transcript is spliced from 3 exons. The record is from RefSeq and is a predicted model, not a curated record.
GUGACUCUUCGUGUAAAUCAAAUGGAGACGAGGUGACAAUUGUCACGUCACCGGUGAGAGAGUUACGUGGCUCACAGAAUAGGGGUGAUGGAGAGUCACCUCACUCGCGGCGCAGAAUAAGAGGGCCUCUCUACUGCUGAUGUCGUAAUUCCCCCAAUGUAAUAGGGUAACUGGUGCACCAAAUUGAAAUGUAGCAAGCUAUGGCAAAAAUUUCGUCGGCAAACUGAUUUUAGGCUGGAUCAGAAUGCUUCUGAAAAAAGAUAGGUAAUCGUUCAAAAGAGAAAGAGGGAAACUGCUGCUCAAAACGCAAAAUGCAAUCAUUCGGAUAGAACAUGAAUUAUGGGCCUAGUUCCUCACAUAAGGUAGGAAGAGGUUAGGCUUAGGGCUUGCCUCAGAAGAAGGUUUCAAUUUAACAUUAACGUAUCAUACACCUGGCUCUGAUUACCCGCCGAGAGAGACAGGACAACACUUUAAAAACUUUAUGUAAAACGAGAAUUACAUACGGGGCUGUGGCGAAGAAUACAUGCGUGAACAAGGUAGAGCUCCACCGUCUGGGAGAGAUACCCCGACGGCAGAAAAAAUAGCCAACGAUGAGAGCGCUAGAUUUGGUUGUACAGUUGGGCGUCAUUCAGGAAAGUGAUCAGCGCAGCCAACGUCGAGGGGUCGUAACCAAGCAGAUUACUGACGUUCUCCGGGAGUCCAUGUUGUUCGCGUAGCUUCCGGAACUCCGGGCAGACACACAGCACGUGUUCCACCGAGGCGGGGAUGCUGCAAAUUAAACAAACCUUGCGGAAAGGUGUCCCACCGAAAUUACAGGAAAUCCUGGCAUGGCCGGACCGGAGACUUGAAGUGAUCCGCUGGUCCUUAUACUUGUGGCUGUCCAUCAAGGGUCGUACGGUAUCCUGGAUCUUCCUCAGGAAAGUGGUCCGCGUCUGGAGCCAUUCCUGCUGCCAGGUUUCCAUGAUUGUGUUCGUUAUCCAACGCCUGACGUCUAAGAGGGGUACGUUCCUGGUGUAGCGGGGACCAGAUCCCGCCAGUCUGUCCGCAGUCUCGUUUCCGGGAACACCGCAGUGUCCGGGAAUCCACGUAAAGACGGUUAAAGCAUAAAGGUACCGGGCGCUUGUAUCCAGGGGUGGCUCGGGGCUGCAGCUUCCAGCGCCUGGAUGACGCAGUAAGAGUCCGUUAACACGAGGAUCGGUCGAUCUGCCGGAGUGAUUGCUGCGGCUUCCGCAGAAAAGACGGAACAUUCCUCCGGUAGAUUUUGACUUAUUGCAGUGUUCGGUUCUGCUACUCCGAGUCCAAUUCCAGCCUGCGACCGCGAUCCGUCUGUAAAGCGAUGAACAUGCCCCGGAUAGACGGACCCGAGAAGCUCUGCAACAGAGGAGUUAUCUCCGGCUUCUUCUUCUUCUUCUUCUUCGCAUUUAAAGCUUAUUGCAUAUCGCAUAUUAGCUUAUUGCGUGCUCUCAACUUAGUGUUCUAGAUGCACUUCCACAGUUAUUAAUUGAGAGCUUUCGAUGGCUGUAUGCAUUGGUAUAAUUGUGUGGCAAGUCCAAUCAUACUUCUAUGCCCAGGGAAGUCGAGAAAUUUUCCAACCCGAAAAAUUACUAGACCGUACCAGGAAUUGAACACAGCCACCUCCAGCAUGGUCUUACUUUGUAGCUGCGCCUUUGCCGACUGAGUUAAGGGAGGCCCCCAGCUUCCUGGGUGGCUUCUUGCUUAUCUCCGGCUUGGAAUCCACUUUUAAUCCGCUUAUCUAUUUUGAUAACGUUUGAUCGCCAACUGUUCUCUCCAUGCCAGUGGACCCUGGCCACCGGGGGAGGUCAAGGUUGACUGUAGUGCGGAGGGCUCUGUUCCCCUCCUUGAAGAGAAAUACCCUAUCGUUCCCGGAUGUUUUAGCGGCAAGGGCAGCGGCUUUUGUGGCAAUGGCGGCAGCAGACCGAAAGCGGAAAGGGAGGAUUCCGAUUUCCACACAUGUGGCGUCUGCAGGCGUGGAAGGGCCGGAUACGAUGCGUACGUAGGUAUUGUAUGUUGGAGCGAGGAUGCGGUUGAACUUCUCGGUGGCUAGGCAACACGAAGGCGGAUCUCACGGUUGCUGGAGCGGUGCGGGCGGGAGAUCGUCCUCACGAUAUUGAUGCGGAUACGACAGUUUUCUUUCACCAUCCUGAAGUGCUGAUCGAAGCUUAGGGUGCGAUCCAGAACUACCCCCAGAACACGCACUGUUUUCUUUUUUUUUACUAGUUCGUUUAUUUUGAAAGCUCAACCGCGUUAGCUUUACGGAGCCGACAAUUCAUGGUUCUUUGUUUGUAACAAAAUUCUCUUAAUUCUAUGUCUAGUAUGAGUUGGGCCGAAUACUUGCGGCUUACUCGGUUAGAGAGGUACAUUGUCGCCAGUAUGAACGGUAGUGCGGUUCUAGUUUCGUCUGGAGUUCGACCGGCUAUGGUGACCAGUGGGCGACGAUGAGACUCAUCGAGACGGGGGGACAAGACAAACAAAAACUAUUAAAGAGAGAAAAAAGAUACUUAUACUAGACAUUUGAAGAAACACAUAAACCGACUGCAUAUAGCAGAUAUCGCGAGUUCCCAACACGUCUCUGAUAGGAACAUAGGGUUGUCUUCCUUGGGCCACGAGGAUAUUCAAAAGUCGCUCUCUGGCGGUGUCAUUAUCCGUACACUGCCAAACUGCGUGAUCGAUGUCAUCGUAACCGUUUCCACGCCGACGAGGUUUAUUCUAUUGAGAUGAUCACUGUUUUCUUGAACGGAAUCGGAUGAUCUUGGAUGGUGAUCGGUGGUCCCCGAAUCAGAUGGCCCGAGUGGCGGAUAUGGCACCGUACACUCUUUGGUGCGGAGAGCUGGAAGCCAACCGAAAACGCCCACCUGCUGACGGCGGAGACUGCUGCUUGGGCUAUAUUCCUAGUCCUGGAAACCAGAAAAAACUGACAUUUUGCCACGUUUUAUUCGGUGUAUUGUUACAGAAGGAUGCCGCACUUUUCAACGGAAUUUUGCAAAUUAAGCGUAACUAUUUGUCUUAACUGCUAACUCAUCCACGCAAACAAAAAUCAUCAUUAGGUAGGGGAAUCUUUCCCCUACUAGCUGGUGAUGUUAUAGCGAAUUCCAGUGCUAGCAGUUGCCACAAAUCGUCGAUUGGUUACUAAAUCAGAUACGUAGAUUUGAAUAGUUACGCUUGAAAUAAUGACUACCGAUACGGUCAAAUCAAAAGUCACUCGAAGUAAAUACAAAAUUGCGGGUUUCCAAACCUUGCAGACAAAAUAACUUAGCUGGCCGUGCAAAUUUACUUUUAUUCUCUUUGCGCGUCUUUUAUAAAACAUCGUCUCUGGCAAAAUACUGUCUUUGGCAUGGCCCUGACACAUAUCGGCUCACUUCAGUUGAUGCGGAUAUUUGUAUUUUCCUUCGUUUAAAGUAUUCUCAUUGUGAACAACCAGGCUGGGUUGAUGCUCGUUUGUACUUGAUUGUAUCGUGAGUGGAGUAGUUGAAAUCAAAGCGUGUUGAUUUAAGGUGAGCGGAGUCCAAAUCUGCCAACAGUCUUCUUCUUCAUUCCUUUAUUUAACGUCGUUCUCUGUUCCACACAAGGUGACUACAUAUAGGUGUUCUAAUGUGUCAAAUUCAUGAUUCAGCCAUGUUGGAUUUUUGUAUGGGACAGCGACCGAGUUUGUUUACAAUUUGAUCUAAAACCGCACUUCCCUCCCCCCGCCGCCACGACCUCCUCGCCUAUAUAGUGACAAAGCUGUAUCACCAUUUAUAUACCCACCAUGGUUCCGCAAUCUAGUGCCAAUCACUGACUGACAUCGAUUGCCAUCCAUUGACGGCAUUCGAAUGUGCAGGAAGGC